This 529-nucleotide ribosomal RNA is filed under the name Lytocarpia myriophyllum. Its description in RNAcentral is "partial 16S ribosomal RNA". The record is from RNAcentral. Lineage: Eukaryota; Metazoa; Cnidaria; Hydrozoa; Leptothecata; Aglaopheniidae.
UAGGUUAUCUUAAUUCAACAUCGAGGUGAUAAACUUUUUCUUUGAUAUGAACUCUAAGAAAAUAUUAUCCUGUUAUCCCUAAAGUAGCUUUUAUUUAUUAAUCAUUAUUUCUUUUUUAAGAUAAUAAUGGGUCAUUAUACCCUACUUUGUAACUGUUAAAUUGAUUAAUUAAACAGUAAAUUAAUUUUUUUUUUAUUAAUUUAGUGUGUCUCUGUUUAUUUUUAGAGAUCAUCGCCCCAAUGAAACUAGCCUUUCUUUAUUAUUUUUAUAAUUUUUAAUUAUGUUUAUAUAAAGAAUUGUAGUUAAGCUUUAUAGGGUCUUUUCGUCUUACAAUAUUACAUAGCAUCUUAACUAUGAUUUCAAUUUUUUUUUCUAUUUUAUAAGACAGAGGAAUUUUCGUUUAACCAUUCAUACUAUCCACUAAUUAAGUGGCGAAUUAUUAUGCUACAUUCAUACAGUCAUAGUUACUGCAGCCAUUUAGUUUUUUUUAUUUUCUUAAUUUAUAAAAAUUUUUUUAUAACCAUUGGGC